This 450-nucleotide ribosomal RNA is filed under the name uncultured bacterium. RNAcentral's name for it is "bacterial SSU rRNA". It matches the Rfam family "Bacterial small subunit ribosomal RNA", at positions 354 to 796 of the family's 1533-position model. The record is from RNAcentral.
GUGGGGAAUAUUGGACAAUGGGCGAAAGCCUGAUCCAGCCAUGCCGCGUGUGUGAAGAAGGUCUUCGGAUUGUAAAGCACUUUAAGUUGGGAGGAAGGGCAGUAAGUUAAUACCUUGCUGUUUUGACGUUACCAACAGAAUAAGCACCGGCUAACUACGUGCCAGCAGCCGCGGUAAGACGUAGGGUGCAAGCGUUAAUCGGAAUUACUGGGCGUAAAGCGUGCGCAGGCGGUUUUGUAAGACAGGUGUGAAAUCCCCGGGCUCAACCUGGGAAUGGCGAUGGAAACUGGGCGACUAGAGUGCGGUAGAGGAUGGCGGAAUUCCCGGUGUAGCGGUGAAAUGCGUAGAGAUCGGGAGGAACAUCCGUGGCGAAGGCGGCCAGCUGGACCAGCACUGACACUGAGGCACGAAAGCGUGGGGAGCAAACAGGAUUAGAUACCCUGGUAGUCC